This 118-nucleotide non-coding RNA is filed under the name Robinsoniella peoriensis. The record is from RNAcentral. Lineage: Bacteria; Bacillati; Bacillota; Clostridia; Lachnospirales; Lachnospiraceae.
UAGCGGGUGGAACACCCGCAUGGCAAGGCGUAGCGAGCCACCAUUAGCGAGUCUUGGGUUCUGACUGGUAACAGUCAGGGCUAAGCGUAGACAGUUAGGGAGCAGGGUUGUAAUGCUA